GAUGAACGCUGGCGGCGUGCCUAAUACAUGCAAGUCGAGCGAACAGACGAGGAGCUUGCUCCUCUGACGUUAGCGGCGGACGGGUGAGUAACACGUGGAUAACCUACCUAUAAGACUGGGAUAACUUCGGGAAACCGGAGCUAAUACCGGAUAAUAUAUUGAACCGCAUGGUUCAAUAGUGAAAGACGGUUUUGCUGUCACUUAUAGAUGGAUCCGCGCCGCAUUAGCUAGUUGGUAAGGUAACGGCUUACCAAGGCAACGAUGCGUAGCCGACCUGAGAGGGUGAUCAGCCACACUGGAACUGAGACACGGUCCAGACUCCUACGGGAGGCAGCAGUAGGGAAUCUUCCGCAAUGGGCGAAAGCCUGACGGAGCAACGCCGCGUGAGUGAUGAAGGUCUUCGGAUCGUAAAACGCUGUUAUUAGGGAAGAACAAAUGUGUAAGUAACUAUGCACGUCUUGACGGUACCUAAUCAGAAAGCCACGGCUAACUACGUG
Molecule: ribosomal RNA, 497 nt
Filed under: uncultured bacterium
Lineage: Bacteria
Description: partial 16S ribosomal RNA
Rfam family: Bacterial small subunit ribosomal RNA
Source: RNAcentral